GGCGCAUUGUCCAAGUGGUAAGUGGUUAGUCUCGUAAAUCAAACAUCAUGGGUUCAAUCCCCAUCUGUGCCU
Non-coding RNA from Pelobates cultripes (western spadefoot toad), 72 nucleotides. NCBI's taxonomy places the organism in Eukaryota, Metazoa, Chordata, Amphibia, Anura, Pelobatidae. The record is from the annotation of a GenBank genome assembly.